This is a small nuclear RNA of Vulpes vulpes (red fox), 129 nucleotides long. The record is from Ensembl. Lineage: Eukaryota; Metazoa; Chordata; Mammalia; Carnivora; Canidae.
GUGUUUUAUGAAAGUGAGGAAUUCAGUUAGCACUCCCCUUGACAAGAGUGGAAAAAAUUCUAGUGCCCUGUAGCACACAUGUACAUGGAUGCUAUCACGCCCUCUUUAUAGCACCUAACAAUAUUUCUU